UGCCUAUACAUGCAGUCGAGCGAACAGAUAAGGAGCUUGCUCCUUUGACGUUAGCGGCGGACGGGUGAGUAACACGUGGGUAACCUACCUAUAAGACUGGGAUAACUUCGGGAAACCGGAGCUAAUACCGGAUAACAUUUGGAACCGCAUGGUUCUAAAGUGAAAGAUGGUUUUGCUAUCACUUAUAGAUGGACCCGCGCCGUAUUAGCUAGUUGGUAAGGUAACGGCUUACCAAGGCGACGAUACGUAGCCGACCUGAGAGGGUGAUCGGCCACACUGGAACUGAGACACGGUCCAGACUCCUACGGGAGGCAGCAGUAGGGAAUCUUCCGCAAUGGGCGAAAGCCUGACGGAGCAACGCCGCGUGAGUGAUGAAGGGUUUCGGCUCGUAAAACUCUGUUAUUAGGGAAGAACAAACGUGUAAGUAACUGUGCACGUCUUGACGGUACCGAAUCAGAAAGCCCCGGCUAACUACGUGCCAACACCCGCGGUAAUACGGAUGUGGCAAGCGUUAUCCGGAAAUCUUGGGCGUACCAGCGCGCGUAGGGGGGCUCCUAAAUUCCAGAUGUGAAAGCCCCCGGGCUCACGUACGCACGGGGCUUAGUGACUGGGACAUUUGCGUGCA
Molecule: ribosomal RNA, 625 nt
Filed under: Staphylococcus sp.
Lineage: Bacteria; Bacillati; Bacillota; Bacilli; Caryophanales; Staphylococcaceae
Description: bacterial SSU rRNA
Rfam family: Bacterial small subunit ribosomal RNA
Source: RNAcentral